GCCACCUUAGCUCAGCUGGUAGAGCAGCACUUUCGUAAAGCGAAGGUCCCGAGUUCAAAUCUCGGAGACGGCUCAA
This 76-nucleotide transfer RNA is filed under the name Candidatus Liptonbacteria bacterium RIFCSPHIGHO2_01_FULL_56_18b. RNAcentral's name for it is "tRNA-Thr". It matches the Rfam family "tRNA". From Rfam's summary of the family: Transfer RNA (tRNA) molecules are approximately 80 nucleotides in length. Their secondary structure includes four short double-helical elements and three loops (D, anti-codon, and T loops). The record is from RNAcentral. Lineage: Bacteria; Candidatus Liptoniibacteriota.